This 493-nucleotide ribosomal RNA is filed under the name uncultured bacterium. RNAcentral describes it as "partial 16S ribosomal RNA". It matches the Rfam family "Bacterial small subunit ribosomal RNA", at positions 30 to 523 of the family's 1533-position model. The record is from RNAcentral.
AUUGAACGCUGGCGGCAUGCUUUACACAUGCAAGUCGAACGGUAACAGGUUAAGCUGACGAGUGGCGAACGGGUGAGUAAUGCAUCGGAACGUGCCCGAUCGUGGGGGAUAACGCAGCGAAAGCUGCGCUAAUACCGCAUACGAUCUGAGGAUGAAAGCGGGGGACCGUAAGGCCUCGCGCGAUCGGAGCGGCCGAUGUCAGAUUAGGUAGUUGGUGGGGUAAAGGCCCACCAAGCCGACGAUCUGUAGCUGGUCUGAGAGGACGACCAGCCACACUGGGACUGAGACACGGCCCAGACUCCUACGGGAGGCAGCAGUGGGGAAUUUUGGACAGUGGGCGAAAGCCUGAUCCAGCAAUGCCGCGUGCAGGAAGAAGGCCUUCGGGUUGUAAACUGCUUUUGUACGGAGCGAAAAGGUCCUUUCUAAUACAAGGGGCUCAUGACGGUACCGUAAGAAUAAGCACCGGCUAACUCCGUGCCAGCCGCCGCAGUAA